UACGUAGGGUGCGAGCGUUGUCCGGAAUUAUUGGGCGUAAAGAGCUUGUAGGCGGUUUGUCGCGUCUGCCGUGAAAUUUCGAGGCUCACCUCGAACUUGCGGUGGGUACGGGCAGACUAGAGUGUGGUAGGGGAGACUGGAAUUCCUGGUGUAGCGGUGAAAUGCGCAGGAUAUCAGGAGGAACACCGGUGGCGAAGGCGGUUCUCUGGGCAUUACCUGACGCUGAGGAGCGAAAGUGUGGGGAGCGAACAGG
Molecule: ribosomal RNA, 253 nt
Filed under: uncultured bacterium
Lineage: Bacteria
Description: partial 16S ribosomal RNA
Rfam family: Bacterial small subunit ribosomal RNA
Source: RNAcentral